AACGCUAGCUACAGGCUUAACACAUGCAAGUCGAGGGGCAGCAUAAAAGUAGCAAUACUUUGGUGGCGACCGGCGCACGGGUGAGUAACGCGUAUGCAACCUACCUAUCAGAGGGGGAUAACCCGGCGAAAGUCGGACUAAUACCGCAUAAAACAGGGGCACCGCAUGGUGCUAUUUGUUAAAAAUUUAUUGCUGAUAGAUGGGCAUGCGUUCCAUUAGGUAGUUGGAGAGGUAACGGCUCACCAAGCCAACGAUGGAUAGGGGAACUGAGAGGUUGGUCCCCCACACUGGUACUGAGACACGGACCAGACUCCUACGGGAGGCAGCAGUGAGGAAUAUUGGUCAAUGGGCGAGAGCCUGAACCAGCCAAGUCGCGUGAAGGAAGAAGGAUCUAUGGUUCGUAAACUUCUUUUGCAGGGGAAUAAAGUGCAGGACGUGUCCUGUUUUGUAUGUACCCUGAGAAUAAGGAUCGGCUAACUCCGUGCCAGCAGCCGCGGUAAUACGGAGGAUCCGAGCGUUAUCCGGAUUUAUUGGGUUUAAAGGGAGCGUAGGCCGUCUGUUAAGCGUGUUGUGAAAUGUAGAUGCUCAACAUCUGAAUUGCAGCGCGAACUGGCAGACUUGAGUGUGCGCAACGUAGGCGGAAUUCGUGGUGUAGCGGUGAAAUGCUUAGAUAUCACGAAGAACUCCGAUUG
RNAcentral lists this ribosomal RNA (692 nucleotides) under uncultured bacterium. RNAcentral describes it as "bacterial SSU rRNA". It matches the Rfam family "Bacterial small subunit ribosomal RNA", at positions 32 to 715 of the family's 1533-position model. The record is from RNAcentral.